Molecule: ribosomal RNA, 523 nt
Filed under: uncultured bacterium
Lineage: Bacteria
Description: bacterial SSU rRNA
Rfam family: Bacterial small subunit ribosomal RNA
Source: RNAcentral
AAUAGAUACCCCGGUAGUCCUAGCCGUAAACAAUGGGUACUAGGUGUAGGUGGUUUCGAUACCAUCUGUGCCGCAGUUAACGCAAUAAGUACCCCGCCUGGGGAGUACGUUCGCAAGAAUGAAACUCAAAGGAAUUGACGGGGGCCCGCACAAGCGGUGGAGCAUGUGGUUUAAUUCGAAGCAACGCGAAGAACCUUACCAGGGCUUGACAUCCCUUGACAACCUCAGAGAUGAGGCUUCUCUUCGGAGCAAGGAGACAGGUGGUGCAUGGUUGUCGUCAGCUCGUGUCGUGAGAUGUUGGGUUAAGUCCCGCAACGAGCGCAACCCUAUUUUAGUUGCCAUCAUUAAGUUGGGCACUCUAAAGAGACUGCCGGUGACAAACCGGAGGAAGGUGGGGAUGACGUCAAAUCAUCAUGCCCCUUAUGUCCUGGGCUACACACGUGCUACAAUGGUCUGUACAGAGGGCAGCGAAGUGGCGACAUGGAGCGAAUCCCAGAAAACAGAUCUCAGUUCGGAUUGCAGG